RNAcentral lists this ribosomal RNA (240 nucleotides) under uncultured bacterium. RNAcentral's name for it is "partial 16S ribosomal RNA". It matches the Rfam family "Bacterial small subunit ribosomal RNA", at positions 96 to 334 of the family's 1533-position model. The record is from RNAcentral.
CGGCGGACGGGUGAGUAACGCGUGGGUAACCUGCCUCAUACAGGGGAGUAACAGUUGGAAACGGACUGCUAAUACCGCAUAAGCGCACAGUACCGCAUGGUACGGUGUGAAAAACUACCGGUGGUAUGAGAUGGACCCGCGUCUGAUUAGGUAGUUGGUGGGGUAACGGCCUACCAAGCCGACGAUCAGUAGCCGACCUGAGAGGGUGACCGGCCACAUUGGGACUGAGACACGGCCCAA